Molecule: microRNA precursor, 126 nt
Filed under: Myotis lucifugus (little brown bat)
Lineage: Eukaryota; Metazoa; Chordata; Mammalia; Chiroptera; Vespertilionidae
Description: mir-9193 microRNA precursor family
Rfam family: mir-9193 microRNA precursor family
Source: Rfam by way of RNAcentral
CGUGCACUGGUGGGGUCCCUCAGCCUGGACUGUGCCCUCUCGCAAUCUGGGAUCCCUUGGGGGAUGUUGGAGAGCUGGUUUCGGUCUGAUCCCGCAGGCCAGGCUGAGGGACCCCACUGGUGCAUG